UACGAAGGGGGCUAGCGUUGUUCGGAAUUACUGGGCGUAAAGCGUGCGCAGGCUGCCAUUUAAGUCAGGGGUGAAAGCCCAGAGCUCAACUCUGGAAUUGCCUUUGAAACUAUUUGGCUUGAGUGCGGGAGAGGUGAGUGGAAUUCCCAGUGUAGAGGUGAAAUUCGUAGAUAUUGGGAAGAACACCGGUGGCGAAGGCGGCUCACUGGCCCGUUUCUGACGCUCAUGCACGAUAGCGUGGGGAUCAAACAGG
Molecule: ribosomal RNA, 253 nt
Filed under: uncultured Pseudomonadota bacterium
Lineage: Bacteria; Pseudomonadati; Pseudomonadota
Description: uncultured proteobacterium partial 16S ribosomal RNA
Rfam family: Bacterial small subunit ribosomal RNA
Source: RNAcentral